RNAcentral lists this unclassified non-coding RNA (228 nucleotides) under Hevea brasiliensis (rubber tree). The record is from RNAcentral. Lineage: Eukaryota; Viridiplantae; Streptophyta; Magnoliopsida; Malpighiales; Euphorbiaceae.
UUAUUGGUUAGGUGCUUAAGAUUAACUGAAAGACUGUUUCUUCUUUCUUUAAUGAUCAACCUCUCUCCUGCCCUUUUAUUUUAUUUUAUUUGUUUUCUCAUUUUAUUUAUUCUUAAUUUUUAUGGGAAAAUGGGAAGGCAGUUUUUAGGGUUUGUAGUAUUAGACUCGAUCGAAUCUGAGCAGCACUCGAAAAAAGAAGAAAAUUUAUCAUCACAGAUUUUGUGAAAU